GGGGGCGAAAUGGUUUCGACGGGGAUCGCGGAAGUGGGAUCAGCGAGCCGAAGCCCCGUGCUUCGUUAAAAACGGGAACUGUCUAAAAUAACUGACAACAAUCACACUCAACUCGCAGCUGCAUAAACGCAGCUACGCGUCCGCCCGAAGAAACUUACCGCUUCGGAACCGGGCGUCAUCAGGGUAGGGAACGAACCUGCGUAAGCUUUGCCGCAGGCCGGACUUCAUGAAGCUACCGUAACGCGGAGCCUGUCGGAGGGCGCCGCGCGAGGGGAAUCCCAAAACACCGACUGCGCUCGGAGAAGAUCCUGCCAACGGAUUUUCGGACGGGAGUUCGACUCUCCCCGCCUCCACCA
Molecule: transfer-messenger RNA, 356 nt
Filed under: Christensenellales
Lineage: Bacteria; Bacillati; Bacillota; Clostridia
Also listed under: 1 other name
Description: UBA3792 sp902792295 Standard tmRNA
Rfam family: transfer-messenger RNA
About the family: Bacterial tmRNA, also known as 10Sa RNA or SsrA, is named for its dual tRNA and mRNA-like properties. Its role is to liberate the mRNA from a stalled ribosome.
Source: RNAcentral